CCUACGGGUGGCAGCAGUGAGGAAUAUUGGUCAAUGGGCUUACGCCUGAACCAGCCAAGUCGCGUGAGGGAAGACUGCCCUAUGGGUUGUAAACCUCUUUUGUCAGGGAGCAACGCCGGCUACGCGUAGCCGGACUGAGAGUACCUGAAGAAAAAGCAUCGGCAAACUCCGUGCCAGCAGCCGCGGUAAUACGGAGGAUGCGGGGGUUAUCCGGAUUUAUUGGGUCAAAGGGGUGCGUAGGCGGAAUGCCAAGUCAGCGGUAAAAUCGCGGGGCCCAACCUCGCUCCGCCGUUGAAACUGGCGUUCUUGAGGGGGCGAGCGGUAGGCGGAAUGCGUGGUGUAGCGGUGAAAUGCAUAGAUAUCACGCAGAACUCCGAUUGCGAAGGCAGCAUACCGGCGCCCAACUGACGCUGAAGCACGAAAGCGUGGGUAUCGAACAGGAUUAGAUACCCCUGUAGUC
RNAcentral lists this ribosomal RNA (460 nucleotides) under uncultured bacterium. RNAcentral describes it as "partial 16S ribosomal RNA". It matches the Rfam family "Bacterial small subunit ribosomal RNA", at positions 338 to 795 of the family's 1533-position model. The record is from RNAcentral.